RNAcentral lists this unclassified non-coding RNA (229 nucleotides) under Jurinea turcica. RNAcentral describes it as "ITS1". The record is from RNAcentral. Lineage: Eukaryota; Viridiplantae; Streptophyta; Magnoliopsida; Asterales; Asteraceae.
AACACGUAAUCACAACAGGGUGUCGCAGGGGUCGGGUGUGAGCCUGGUCCUUGUGAUGCUUUGCUGGCAUGCAUGCAUGGUGCUUCUUGCGAGGCACUGUGUGUGUUGUGUUGGCACCAAAACAAACCCCCGGCACGGCAUKUGCCAAGGAAAACAAAACAUAAGAAGGGUGCGUCCCGUGCUGCCCCGUUURCGGUGUGCGCAUGGGUCGUGUCUUCUCAUUAACCAU